CCGCAGUGAAUAACUGUGCUAAGGUAGCGUAAUAAAUUGUCUCUUAAUUGGAGAAGGGUAUGAAUGGUUUGACGUGGUAGUUUCUGUCUCAAUAAUAGUAUUGCGAAAUUUUCAUUUGAGUUAAAAGUCUUAAAUAUAGAUAAAAGACGAGAAGACCCUGUCGAGCUUAAUAAAAUUAUGUAAAGAUUUCAUAUAAUAAAUUUAACUGGGGCAGUUGAGAACCAAAAAAUAGUUCUUUAUUAUUUGAAGAUCCGGUUUUACCGACCAUAAGAAAAAGCUACCGCAGGGAUAACAGCGUUAUCCUUUCUAAGAGAACUAAUUGAAGAAAGGGUUUGCGACCUCGAUGUUGGAUUAAAGUUUCUUUUUGGUGCAGCAGCU
Molecule: ribosomal RNA, 378 nt
Filed under: Ensis magnus
Lineage: Eukaryota; Metazoa; Mollusca; Bivalvia; Adapedonta; Pharidae
Description: partial 16S ribosomal RNA
Rfam family: Bacterial large subunit ribosomal RNA
Source: RNAcentral